GAGAAGGCAGUAAGAGAGUUGCAUUCUGGACUAGUGAAAGUAAAGAUACCACUUUGCUCAUAGUGAAACAUCCAGUUGAAAAGAGAAGUGAUGGCUCUCAGUCCCGUGGUGACAGUGUUUGGCCCGAGAGCUCUGAGGGCCUGUGUUUGCCUUGCUCGGUAAAUAUUGAGUGAGUAAACAGAGCCUGAGUGGGCUCUAGAAUAAGUUUCUCUUGUCACUCUGGAGCCCGUGCCUUUUCAAGUGAUCAGCAUCUUCCACUUCCUUAAGCAUGUAUGGCGUGAGCAGUGCUUCCGGUGUGCCCCAUUGUCUUGUUCGAUUCUCUAUUACACCUUGUGAAGAAUCAAUGUUUACGUGGCAGUCCUGGCCUGUAGAGGAAACAGCUGCAGACAUCCAGUUUUCAGAGCAAACUGCACCUUUAGCUUUUUGCUGAGCAACUGAACAUGGACUGGGAAUGCUAAACAUGAUAUACUAGCAUUUGAUCAAACAGCUUCGAAGCUGAAUAUUUUAACUCUGGAAUAUCUUGAAGUGUUCACCUAGAAGACUUCCGUUAGUGGUGACCCUGCUUUGGGCUGGAAAACCUGAUCCACGGGGCCAAUGCUAAUAUCUGUGAUGGUGUAGUGUUUUAUCAGAGCCGAAGUCUUGGUAUGUGGCCCAGACUAACAUCAAAUUCACUGUAUAGCCUAAUGUGACCUCAGAUUGGCAGCAACCUUCCUUUCGGCUUCCUGAGCACUGGAAUUACAAGAUGAAAUAGGACCAACUUCCUCACAUUCCUCCCUUCACAGAUUCCUCAUCAUAAUGGACUGCUCCCUCAGACUGUGAGGAAGGAGAGACAUAACCCUUUGGAAGUGAGUUGGGAGCCUAGCUGUGAUUAGACCCAAGAUAUGAUCAGUGUCCUGCUCAGCCAUCACCAGAGAACCUUCCCACCUCGGCAAAUGGGAACAAACACAGAGACCCACAGUCAGACAUCAUGCGGAGAGCGAGAGACGUUGGAAUACUCAGUACAGAACUGGAUAUCCUCGUCCAAUCCCUCCCCUAAGGGCUCAGAGAAGCCCAUGGAAGACGAGGCAGAGAGAAUGUAACAGCCAGAGGGGAUGAAGAACCCAAGGAAACAAGGCCAUCUGAACCAUCAAGACAGAUGCACACAUGAACUCACAGAGACUGAGGUAGCAUGCACCGAGCCUUCAAAGUGGGCAUGUGAUAGGGUUCAGGUGCUGAAAGGAGAAAUGGAUACAUGUCCCCAUCCCUAACCUAGAAGCUAUCUCCCACUGAUAACCACUUUCAAAUAAAAGUUUUUUUUUUCCAAAGGAGUCUCACUGGAGAAACAAACUACUCUUAAGGGGAGGGGCAUGACCAGCUGCAGACGCCAACAGUCGGUGAACUCACAGGCAUUGGUGGAGGUCCCUGUCUCAGUGUCACGUCAGGGCCUUUUCUUCUCUUUUAUUAGUUUUAAACUUUACCUUUUUUAUUCUUUAUAUUUAUAAUAAAGGAUCUACAGGUCCUUUGCAUAUACAUUACAGGAUCUGGUUUUACGUUUUUAUGGAAAGUUUGAGCAGACAAAUGAGUGGCUCUUAUGUCUUUUCUUGGGCUCUUUUCCUUCUGUUUGUAUUCUCCUAUUCUGAUUUGUUUCUAUUUUAUCAUAUUAUAUUAUAUCGUUUCAUAUAAUAUUCCCUUAUACACAGGGAAACAGAAAGAAAGUGGAUCAGGAUGGGAAGGAAUGUGGGCAGGAACAGGGCAGAGUAGGAGGAAAGAAACUGUAAUGAAGGUAUGUUGUAUGAAAACAAUCCAUUCUCAAUAAAAGGAAAAAAUCACAAA
RNAcentral lists this small RNA (1812 nucleotides) under Rattus norvegicus (Norway rat). RNAcentral's name for it is "uncharacterized LOC102553356". The record is from RNAcentral. Lineage: Eukaryota; Metazoa; Chordata; Mammalia; Rodentia; Muridae.